Molecule: long non-coding RNA, 877 nt
Organism: Trifolium pratense (red clover)
Lineage: Eukaryota; Viridiplantae; Streptophyta; Magnoliopsida; Fabales; Fabaceae
Exons: 6
Source: RefSeq, a predicted model, not a curated record
CUUCAAAAACGUGAAAAUAAGAAAUCACUUGUUUCCCUCUCACUUUUUUAAAGGAAAUGUUGCAUCCACCAAAUGAAGGGGCUGGGCGCCAAAUGAAAUUUUAGUUACCCACGGCAAAUUUGUAUAUAAAAACCAAAGAGACUGAGGAAACGAAGGACGGAAGACAAAUCACAAAUCCCUAUCACUCUCCAUUCCGGCGACCCUCUCAUCUCCCGCUACCAUCUUCGUUCUGGCGACCCUCUCCACUUUCUCCGUUUCCCAGCUGCGUUCUCUCUGUUCGUCCCCCUUCCACCGGAACAGUUGAAAAUAUCAUCUAUUGGUCUGUGGAACAACACCUUUUAUGAUACGAGGUUCACGCGAAAUUGAAGAAGCUUUAUUGAAACACUUGGGUGGGAAACGAAAUGAUGGUUUCUUUUCUGUUGGAGAAAUGGGAUGCAUGGUCCACUUUGUCUCUUUAAACUGAUUUGACAGUCAGGGCCAAAACAAGUGAUGUUAAUGUUGGUGAUUUUAGUGCUGGUUCUUAUGCAACAAUAGUUGGAGCGGAGGCUGCAGAGUUGGGUAGAGUACCCACAGUGGACGAGGUCUUUGUAAGAACUCAAACCAGUGCAUAGGAUUCAUCUUGGGUUGAACAAGAUAUAAGUUGCAUCAGGCCUCAGGAGCUGCAGACGGUAAGGGCUCCCAAACCAUCAACACAAUCGACCCUAAGACUCGUUUUAAGCUAUGUGCCCAAUCAUCUAGGGGAAAAACUGUUAUGACUACAUAUUUUGUCCAAAUUGUUAAGUGUCUUAUUUGUUUAUUUUGACAAUUGUAAUAGUGUCAAUUUUUGUUAACACUACACUUUAGUUUGAGUAAGUGAUCUUUUGAUGAUAUGACUCAA